This 896-nucleotide unclassified non-coding RNA is filed under the name Hevea brasiliensis (rubber tree). The record is from RNAcentral. Lineage: Eukaryota; Viridiplantae; Streptophyta; Magnoliopsida; Malpighiales; Euphorbiaceae.
UUUGAACAUCACAUGCAUCAAUUUUUUUAUAUCUAUAAUUUGAAUUCCAAAUUAAUCAUCACUUUCAAGAAAAUGAAUUGUAUACAUGUAUAACCAUAACUAAAACCAUGAAGGUGCAAGUAGAAUGCCACACAAGCGUUACAAACUAUUAAAGACAAAAAUAUAUAAAUAAAUAAAUAAUAAACUAACAUCAUAUUCAGAUAGAUCUGGUAUUCUUUUUUAUUGUUUGGCACCUCCAAAAUUUUAAAAGGGCAAGGGGGUCGUUAAGGGUUGAACUUCACGCAUCUUGAAUUCUGAAGGCAGGAACUCAACUAAAAGGCUACUAGCCAUCUAACUGGAAAACAUCCUCUUACAUGUUUACCCGACAAAAAGUAGGAUUUAUCUCCUUCAGAAAGAAAUUUACAUUAAUUAUGUCCCAAAUAAGUAGGCAUGUUCAAAAUCAUUGAAUAUACAGAUAUCCUUUGCACAUGAAAUCUUCUCAAUUGAACUCCCCUAAUAAUUCUAUUUGGUGUAUCUUUUUUUAACUAGCUCAACUACAGGCCACAUCUAACUGAAAGAGAAUAGCUCUGCUUUAAAAGCAUCCAACCUGCAAGGGUAGUUGAUCCAAUAGACAGCUCAGGUAAUAUGCUUGGAUAACCCAGGGAUAAAAGGACUUUCAACAACUAAUGUCCUAAAGAGUCAUAAAUGCCAGGAUGAAGGUUAUGCAGUUAACAUGGACACUUCUUUUUUGGUACUUUAGAAAUUUUUUUAAAGGGAUGGGGGGUUUGUCAAGGUUUGAACCCUUUAUCUCCUGCAAUACAAAGCAAGCAGUCAACCACUACCUACUAGCCAAAUGGCAGCAAUGUAUACUUUAGUAGAUGUUAACCUCAACUCCAGUAUAUGAGAGAGAGAGAGAG